CCUCAAGCCCAAGCUAGUUUGGG
This 23-nucleotide small nuclear RNA is filed under the name Arabidopsis thaliana (thale cress). RNAcentral's name for it is "snRNA_15934". The record is from RNAcentral. Lineage: Eukaryota; Viridiplantae; Streptophyta; Magnoliopsida; Brassicales; Brassicaceae.